UUGCAGGCUGCAACUCGCCUGCAUGAAGUCGGAAUUGCUAGUAAUCGCAGAUCAGCAUGCUGCGGUGAAUACGUUCCCGGGCCUUGUACACACCGCCCGUCAAACCAUGAGAGUUGGCAACACCCGAAGUCGGUAGUCUAACCGCAAGGAGGACGCCGCCGAAGGUGGGGUUGAUGAUUAGGGUUAAGUCGUAACAAGGUAUC
This 203-nucleotide ribosomal RNA is filed under the name uncultured bacterium. Its description in RNAcentral is "partial 16S ribosomal RNA". It matches the Rfam family "Bacterial small subunit ribosomal RNA", at positions 1298 to 1500 of the family's 1533-position model. The record is from RNAcentral.